AUGAGGUAUACCUGAGUCUCCGACGUGUGAAGAGACGGCGGAUUGCCGA
This 49-nucleotide small nucleolar RNA is filed under the name Pyrobaculum islandicum DSM 4184. RNAcentral describes it as "PISsR109". Lineage: Archaea; Thermoproteati; Thermoproteota; Thermoprotei; Thermoproteales; Thermoproteaceae. The record is from RNAcentral.